AGAGUUUGAUCCUGGCUCAGAUUGAACGCUGGCGGCAUGCCUUACACAUGCAAGUCGAACGGCAGCACGGGAGCAAUCCUGGUGGCGAGUGGCGAACGGGUGAGUAAUGUAUCGGAACGUGCCCAGUCGUGGGGGAUAACGCAGCGAAAGCUGUGCUAAUACCGCAUACGAUCUAUGGAUGAAAGCGGGGGAUCGCAAGACCUCGCGCGAUUGGAGCGGCCGAUAUCAGAUUAGGUAGUUGGUGGGGUAAAAGCCCACCAAGCCGACGAUCUGUAGCUGGUCUGAGAGGACGACCAGCCACACUGGAACUGAGACACGGUCCAGACUCCUACGGGAGGCAGCAGUGGGGAAUUUUGGACAAUGGGCGCAAGCCUGAUCCAGCAAUGCCGCGUGCAGGAUGAAGGCCUUCGGGUUGUAAACUGCUUUUGUACGGAACGAAACGGCGAGCUCUAAUAAAGCUUGCUAAUGACGGUACCGUAAGAAUAAGCACCGGCUAACUACGUGCCAGCAGCCGCGGUAAUACGUAGGGUGCAAGCGUUAAUCGGAAUUACUGGGCGUAAAGCGUGCGCAGGCGGUUAUAUAAGACAGAUGUGAAAUCCCCGGGCUCAACCUGGGACCUGCAUUUGUGACUGUAUAGCUAGAGUACGGUAGAGGGGGAUGGAAUUCCGCGUGUAGCAGUGAAAUGCGUAGAUAUGCGGAGGAACACCGAUGGCGAAGGCAAUCCCCUGGACCUGUACUGACGCUCAUGCACGAAAGCGUGGGGAGCAAACAGGAUUAGAUACCCUGGUAGUC
This 792-nucleotide ribosomal RNA is filed under the name uncultured bacterium. RNAcentral describes it as "bacterial SSU rRNA". It matches the Rfam family "Bacterial small subunit ribosomal RNA", at positions 8 to 795 of the family's 1533-position model. The record is from RNAcentral.